AGUGGGGGCAAAAUGAAAUAUAGUGAGAAAAGGGGCGACUGACAAAACUUUGGCAAUAAUAACCACGUCGGCCACAUGAGGGGCACGGUGGUGCUCAUGGUUAUUAUUGCCACAGGGGGGCCCAAAUUCAAAGGUUGCCCUGGGGCCCAUAGAAUUCUAGUUACGCCACUGCACCAGACGCAUGCGCAUAUCACACACAGCGUGCGGCUGUACAGCGGGUUGGAAGGAGAGUGUUCCUUCCUUCCAACUGUGAUGCUGGCCAGCCACUGCCACCAAUAUGAAAGCUGAAAAGGGCUAGUGAGGGAGGGAUUGGUUAGCUCAGUGCAGCAGAGACCCUAGUCAGUUUUGAGUCACAUUUAAAUAAUAAAUGUAAUAGUUAUCUAUUUUAACAUGAACCUUGUGUUUUGUUAUGCGCGUGAAUCAGUCAGCGCCGACCAGCACACAC
Molecule: long non-coding RNA, 445 nt
Organism: Bufo bufo (common toad)
Lineage: Eukaryota; Metazoa; Chordata; Amphibia; Anura; Bufonidae
Exons: 3
Source: RefSeq, a predicted model, not a curated record